CGACGACUGAAAACUUUUCGAAAUAAUUAAUUAUAUUAAAUAACACACCCAUCUACUUGUUGAAGAAAUGAUUUUGUUUCGUAAUCGUUAAUUUCGAUACACUUUAGAUUACGACCGGUUAAACGGAUUUCCGCGGGAAGAAUAUUUUUCGUUUUACGAUCGUGUUUUUAAUAGUUUUAUUAUUCGGAAAACAAAUGUUUAGGGCUGUUGUGUUCAAUUAGGGGAGAGUUUGGUAGAAAUACGGAAAACCUAAGGGAAACUUGUUUAUAUCUUUUAAAAUAUUGAACUAAAACACACGUUUCCCCGUUCUUAAUUCCCACCAAUCGAUAACCGUUUUUUGUUUUUUUUUUUUUUCUAUUCUUUUCUAUACGAAUUUUUUUUUUCCCCGAAUUUUUCCUGUGAUUAUUUUCUGACCUUAAAAAUCAUAAUAUUAAGCUUUUUCGAGAGAGCUUAUCAAGGGUGUUUUUAUUUUUUUAUUUUUUUUUUUUUGUUAAUUUUAAGCCCUAUCAGUCGCAAACCCGAUUAUAAGAAAUGCCAGUUUGUUUUCGCAAAAGUUAACUGAUAAACCGUUUUUGGGCGCGGGUAUUAAUUAACGGUAUAAACCGUAAAGCUUAUGACGAUAAUAACUAUUAAAAGAUAAUCAUUUCUGUACGAUCCGUAUAAGUGUGUAUAGUGUGUAUUUAUAGAGUAUUAUAAUUCUAACGAACAGAUAGGGUAACGAAGAGGCGGUAUUAAAAG
This is a non-coding RNA of Cinara cedri, 738 nucleotides long. Lineage: Eukaryota; Metazoa; Arthropoda; Insecta; Hemiptera; Aphididae. The record is from the annotation of a GenBank genome assembly.